Molecule: ribosomal RNA, 484 nt
Filed under: uncultured bacterium
Lineage: Bacteria
Description: partial 16S ribosomal RNA
Rfam family: Bacterial small subunit ribosomal RNA
Source: RNAcentral
AGUGAACGCUGGCGGCGUGCUUAACACAUGCAAGUCGAACGAGAACGGGCUAUAGCUUGCUAUAGUUGUCAGCUAAGUGGCGCACGGGUGAGUAAUGUAUAGGUAAUAUGCCUCUUACUAAGGGAUAACAACUGGAAACGUUUGCUAAUACCUUAUACUCCUUAUUAACAGAAGUUAAUAAGGGAAAGAUUUAUUGGUAAGAGAUUAGCCUGUAUUGUAUUAGUUAGUUGGUGGGGUAAUGGCUUACCAAGACUAUGACACAUAACUGGUUUGAAAGGAUGAUCAAUCACACGGGAACUGAGACACGGUCCAGACUCCUACGGGAGGCAGCAGUGGGGAAUAUUGCACAAUGGACGAAAGUCUGAUGCAGCAUCGCCGCGUGGAGGAUGACACAUUUCGGUGCGUAAACUCCUUUUAUAUGAGAAGAUAAUGACGGUAUUAUAUGAAUAAGCACCGGCUAACUCCGUGCCAGCCGCCGCAGUAA